CCGCACUUGGUGACGGGGACACGUGGGUGGCCACGGAUGGGGGUGUCCGGGGGGGGGUCAGGGGUUGGGUUCCAGCAGGAGGGGGGCCCUGGAUGUCCCCCCCCUCCCCGUUCCCAUCCCAAAUCUCGCUGGCAGCCGCUCGGGGUCUGCUGUGGGGCAGGCGUUUCCCAUGCGCUCCCCGUUCCCCAUUGGGGUGCUCGGGGGCAGAGCCGGGGAUUGGGGCAAACCUGCUCGGGUGGGGGGGGUGCGGGGGAGGCAGCGAAUUCCCACAGGAGCUCGGGAGGGCCCUGGCUCCCUGGGGGGGCGGAAAACAGCCCCCGGCGCCUCUCCUGCCCCUCCCCAUGAAGCUGGGUGCGCUCCCCGGGGAGCCGGAGCUGUGCCGAGCAGCCACGGGGACCCCGCUGCCAUGAGGGACGUGCUGGGGGGGGCCCUGUGGGACAGCCCGGCCUGGGAACAGGUAUGGGAUUGGGGGGGGGGGGGGGGGCGGGGGGGGGGGGGGGGGGGGGGGGGGGGGGGGGGGGGGGGGGCUGCUUUCUGCUGCUGAGCCAAAUUUUAUCCCCCCCCCCUCUCCAGGGAAAGUCCUCGUGGUUGUGUGUAGGGAUGGGGGGGGGGGGGGGGGGUCCUUGGGCGGCGUGGCGGGGGGGGGGGGGCGAUUUGCUGACACCCCCAGCUCUGCUCUGCCCCCCCCUCUGCUUCCUGGGGUCCCAAAGUGAUGCUGGAGGUUGGGGGGGGGGUCCCUUGGGGGUUACAUCAAGGAGCUGCUUGGCAGGGUGUCCCCUCCCCAAGGACCCCAAGGACCCCAUGGACCCCCCCCCCCUCCAUUGCCCCCCCCACUUUGCUCCAGCUGGGUGCAGGUGGCUGGGGGCACCCACGGGUGGCAGUGGGGUCCCCUGUUCCACCCGCACCCGUGGCGGGGUGGUGGUGCUGGGGAGCAGCCCCGUGCCCCUCAGACCACCCGGGGGGGGUCCUUGGCAGGGGGGGGGCAGGAUCCAUUCUCGCCGCCCCCUCCCAGCAGUUGUGGGUGCCGGCACCUCCCGUUCCCAGGGCUCGGCCCCCGGAGCCGUGCCAGCAGCUGGGGGCGAGGGGAAAAGGGGAAAUCCCUGCGGCUUCCCCGGGCAGGAAGCAAUCGGGGGGGUGGGAGUGGGGGGGGGGGUCCGGCCCCCCCCACCCCAACCAUCCCUGGUG
This 1185-nucleotide long non-coding RNA is filed under the name Anas platyrhynchos platyrhynchos (common mallard). Its description in RNAcentral is "lncRNA (ENSAPLG00000028281.1)". Lineage: Eukaryota; Metazoa; Chordata; Aves; Anseriformes; Anatidae. The record is from RNAcentral.